Long non-coding RNA from Cryptomeria japonica (Japanese cedar), 628 nucleotides. RefSeq lists it as uncharacterized. The record is from RefSeq and is a predicted model, not a curated record. The transcript has 2 exons. Lineage: Eukaryota; Viridiplantae; Streptophyta; Pinopsida; Cupressales; Cupressaceae.
GCGAUUAGAAAUGAUCUUUAAGGAUUAGGGUUUCCGAUCGAUCUGAGACUCGUCGAUUUGGGAUAGCAUCAGGGAUUUAGGGUUUUUAUUGCCCUAGGGUUUCAGAAUGUAUAUUUAGUUGGACAUAAAGUACAUUGAAGUCGAGAUAUCGUUUCGGUUGCCCCGCGUAAGCAUGGGCCAUUUGAUUGUUGCUCGACAACAUGGAAACCUAUCUGACAGGUUUUUGCCUUGUGUUUGUUUUUGAGAUUUUAAUAUACGUUGAGGGUUUUUUGAUUGUUCCGACUUAUUAUUCAAUUAAUACGUUGUAAAUCAUUCAGAUUCGUAGCAGUAACAUCUAUCCUUUUGUAUUAGGGUUUAGCGGUAUAUUAUAUUUAAUCAUCUGGUUAAGAAAUUUCGUAGGUUUUUUGUUUCAAGUAAGCAUAUCUGCAUAAAUGUUGUUGUAGUAAAGCUUCAUUAGUUUCGGAUUUUGGAGCUACUUAUUUCAUCUCUGCUCUUGAGCUCCUCCGAGAUGGAGCUGGCAUUUUUUUACAGAUUGCUUUGAUCUUACGAAUAGACUGUUAGAAACUCCUAUGUUAAGUUUAAACAGCUGAAAAAUAAACUGAAAUCUGGAUACUUCAAGGUUUGUUUU